CGAAGGGGGCAAGCGUUGUUCGGAAUUACUGGGCGUAAAGGGCGCGUAGGCGGCUUAUCAAGUCAGGCGUGAAAUUCCCGGGCUCAACCUGGGGGCUGCGCUUGAUACUGAUGAGCUUGAAUGCGGGAGAGGAUAGUGGAAUUCCCAGUGUAGAGGUGAAAUUCAUAGAUAUUGGGAAGAACACCGGUGGCGAAGGCGGCUAUCUGGCCCGUAAUUGACGCUGAGGCGCGAAAGCGUGGGGAGCAAACAGGAUUAGAUACCCCUGGUAGUCCACGCCGUAAACGAUGAAUGCUAGACGUUGGCGAGCAUGCUCGUCAGUGUCGGAGCUAACGCAUUAAGCAUUCCGCCUGGGGAGUACGGUCGCAAGAUUA
RNAcentral lists this ribosomal RNA (371 nucleotides) under uncultured organism. RNAcentral's name for it is "bacterial SSU rRNA". It matches the Rfam family "Bacterial small subunit ribosomal RNA", at positions 526 to 896 of the family's 1533-position model. The record is from RNAcentral.